Molecule: ribosomal RNA, 301 nt
Filed under: uncultured bacterium
Lineage: Bacteria
Description: partial 16S ribosomal RNA
Rfam family: Bacterial small subunit ribosomal RNA
Source: RNAcentral
CAGUAGCCACGGGAAUACGAAGGGUGCAAGCGUUAAUCGGAAUUACUGGGCGUAAAGCGUGCGUAGGCGGUGAGUUAAGUCUGCUGUGAAAUCCCCGGGCUCAACCUGGGAAUGGCAGUGGAUACUGGCUCGCUAGAGUGUGUCAGAGGAUGGUGGAAUUCCCGGUGUAGCAGUGAAAUGCGUAGAGAUCGGAAGGAACAUCUGUGGCGAAGGCGACUAUCUGGGCCAACACUGACACUGAGGCACGAAAGCGUGGGGAGCAAACAGGAUUAGAUACCCCGGUAGUCCCUGUCUCUUAUAC